Molecule: ribosomal RNA, 487 nt
Filed under: uncultured bacterium
Lineage: Bacteria
Description: partial 16S ribosomal RNA
Rfam family: Bacterial small subunit ribosomal RNA
Source: RNAcentral
GAUGAACGCUAGCGAUAGGCUUAACACAUGCAAGUCGAGGGGCAGCACAAGGUAGCUUGCUAUCUGGGUGGCGACCGGCGCACGGGUGCGUAACGCGUAUGCAACUUGCCCUAUACAGGAGGAUAACCCGUCGAAAGACGGACUAAUACUGCGUAUGCUCACAACUUGGCAUCAAGUGGUGAGGAAAGAAAUUCGGUAUAGGAUAGGCAUGUGUCCCAUUAGCUUGUUGGUGAGGUAACGGCUCACCAAGGCAACGAUGGGUAGGGGAACUGAGAGGUUUAUCCCCCACACUGGUACUGAGACACGGACCAGACUCCUACGGGAGGCAGCAGUGAGGAAUAUUGGUCAAUGGGCGCGAGCCUGAACCAGCCAAGUCGCGUGAAGGAUGACUGUCUUAUGGAUUGUAAACUUCUUUUAUACGGGAAUAACAAGAGUCACGUGUGACUCCCUGCAUGUACCGUAUGAAUAAGCAGCGGCUAACUCCGUG